GCACAUCAUGCAUAGCUCAGUUGGUAGAGCAUUAGACUCUUAGUCUUGGGGUUGUGAGUUCAAGCCCCAGGUUGGGCA
Podarcis lilfordi (Lilford's wall lizard) is the source of this 78-nucleotide non-coding RNA. The record is from the annotation of a GenBank genome assembly. Lineage: Eukaryota; Metazoa; Chordata; Lepidosauria; Squamata; Lacertidae.